Molecule: ribosomal RNA, 506 nt
Filed under: uncultured bacterium
Lineage: Bacteria
Description: partial 16S ribosomal RNA
Rfam family: Bacterial small subunit ribosomal RNA
Source: RNAcentral
AGUGAACGCUGGCGGUAGGCCUAACACAUGCAAGUCGAACGGCAGCACAGAGGAGCUUGCUCCUUGGGUGGCGAGUGGCGGACGGGUGAGGAAUACUUCGGAAUCUACUCUGUCGUGGGGGAUAACGUAGGGAAACUUACGCUAAUACCGCAUACGACCUACGGGUGAAAGCAGGGGACCUUCGGGCCUUGCGCGAUUGAAUGAGCCGAUGUCGGAUUAGCUAGUUGGCGGGGUAAAGGCCCAACAAGGCGACGAUCCGUAGCUGGUCUGAGAGGAUGAUCAGCCACACUGGAACUGAGACACGGUCCAGACUCCUACGGGAGGCAGCAGUGGGGAAUAUUGGACAAUGGGCGCAAGCCUGAUCCAGCCAUACCGCGUGGGUGAAGAAGGCCUUCGGGUUGUAAAGCCCUUUUGUUGGGAAAGAAAUCCAGCUGGCUAAUACCCGGUUGGGAUGACGGUACCCAAAGAAUAAGCACCGGCUAACUUCGUGCCAGCCGCCGCAGUAA